Molecule: ribosomal RNA, 500 nt
Filed under: uncultured bacterium
Lineage: Bacteria
Description: partial 16S ribosomal RNA
Rfam family: Bacterial small subunit ribosomal RNA
Source: RNAcentral
AUUGAACGCUGGCGGAAUGCUUUACACAUGCAAGUCGAACGGCAGCACGGACUUCGGUCUGGUGGCGAGUGGCGAACGGGUGAGUAAUGUAUCGGAACGUGCCCAGUCGUGGGGGAUAACGUAGUGAAAAUUACGCUAAUACCGCAUACGAUCUAUGGAUGAAAGCGGGGGAUCGCAAGACCUAGCGCGAUUGGAGCGGCCGAUAUCAGAUUAGGUAGUUGGUGGGGUAAAGGCCCACCAAGCCAACGAUCUGUAGCUGGUCUGAGAGGACGACACGCCAAACUGGAACUGAGACACGGUCCAGACUCCUACGUGAGGCAGCAGUGGGGAAUUUUGGACAAUGGGCGAAAGCCUGAUCCAGCCAUUCCGCGUGCAGGAUGAAGGCCCUCGGGUUGUAAACUGCUUUUGUACAGAACGAAAAGGUUUCUACUAAUACUAGGAGCUCAUGACGGUACUGUAAGAAUAAGCACCGGCUAACUACGUGCCAGCCGCCGCAGUAA